GAUCAGAUUUAUUUUAUCUAAACCGGUGUUUCCUAAUCUUUCUUAAAUCGUGACUCAUCUCUAUGUCUCAAAACUCUAAUACUCCCUAGUACAGGGCUUCUUAAACUUUUCCACUUGGUGACUCCCUUUAACAGAGCAAAUAUUUUUGCGACCAUGGAUAUCAAGGGUUCUCAAUCUUUUUCCUUCGUGGGCCGCAUACGUUUGUUUCUUACAUCAAACAGGCUGCAACAUUGGAGCCGCGGACGGUGCCGGACAUUCCACGCGAUCGGCUCUCAAGGUCGUACGGGGGGAGGUGAGAUUGAGGUUGGGUGGUGGUUAAUUGCCGUAAGUAAAUUUUUACCACUAAAGGAAAAAAGAAGGUAAAUUCAUUUUUGUCGCAGUUUGAGUAUGGUUGAUAUAGACUCUAUAACAGUUGUUCCCAAACUUUUUUGAUUCUCGACACCUCUGCUAAAUUCAAAUUUUCCCAAGGCAUCCUAUGUCAAAUUCUAACAAUUACACUUUGCAAAAUAGGUAAUAAUUUUGUUAUAAGGGUUAGGUAAAAAUUAAUAAAACACAUCAUAAAUUGUAAAAAAAUGUAAUUGAACAAAUUCAAUUAAUUAUAAUAAUUAGUAAGAUGGAUGAACCUUUUGGUCACCGCAUAUUAUCUCAAAUCUUGGAAUUAAACUGGACAUAGUUACUACCCUCAUUUUCUUCUUCAUAUUGAUAUUCGCAUGAUAUUUAGAUUUUAUCGUAGCAACUGCCGAAAACCCAGCUUUACACUGAUAAGAUGUAAAAAGAAUUAAAAUUAUAACAAUUGUAUAAUAUUUCCUCCGAGGCUUACACUUUGGAAACCUAAUUUAUAUUAUUUUCUGUUUCACUAUUAUAAAUUUAAAUACUAUACGUGUUGUAUUGUUAAACUAAUUUUAAAUUAAUUUUUGGUCGUUGCGCGUCCAGAAAUAUUUUUUUUUUGUUAAAAUUUCUACGAUCCCUAAAUUUAAUUACGCGACCCACACUUUGAGAAGCCCUGUCCUAGUAUAUCAUAAUAACCCGGCUACUAUUAUAAUUUAACAUUAAUAAGUAUUUCUAAUAAAAAAUGAAACUGAUUUUAAUUAGCCUUUCUUUAAGAAAUAUAAAUUUUAUCUUGAAUGUUAAUUUGAAUAAGAAUUUUUGACAAGAAACACUGAUAUGAUGACGUAUAUUAUUGAUUUGCUCAUUGUCCCAUUGUUGGGAAACACUGAUUUGCACUUAUGUGAUUAAUAUUGUGUAAAUAAAAAUAUUGAAAUGUAUUGUCAA
This 1272-nucleotide long non-coding RNA is filed under the name Polistes fuscatus (common paper wasp). RNAcentral's name for it is "uncharacterized LOC122515153". The record is from RNAcentral. Lineage: Eukaryota; Metazoa; Arthropoda; Insecta; Hymenoptera; Vespidae.